Molecule: long non-coding RNA, 477 nt
Organism: Pipra filicauda (Wire-tailed manakin)
Lineage: Eukaryota; Metazoa; Chordata; Aves; Passeriformes; Pipridae
Exons: 3
Source: RefSeq, a predicted model, not a curated record
AAAACAAAUCUAUGCUUCCUGAGCAAAGGACUAGGAAUCGUUCUGUGGUCUCCUGGAUUUUUCUCGUGAUGUCUGGAUGAGUUCAGCCCGGAAUGUGUAAGAUGUGCUCAUUGCCACGUGGUGCUUCUGCUUGCUGCGUUCACAGAUGUGAUUCUCCAGUGGUAAAUUCAUCUUUUUCAGCCUUGUGUUGCCUGCUAGAGCCAAAGGAAACAAAAGGUAACAAGAAUUUAGAUUAGAAACUGAACAGAUGAUCUGGAGGAAAUGACAGAGAAGGAGAAGGACCUGCUACAAAUACCAGAAGGGGUAUGGGAGGCCAACAAGACACAACAAUGAAGAAAAGGCAGAUGCGGUUGUCGAAUGUGCCCAGCAAGGUGAAAUUCAGCAUAAUGAUUUCAGCAGUGGAAAAGAAUUCUUGAGAGCAAAACCUCUGCAUAGCAGCUUGAUUUUAGUGUGGAAGAAAGCACAUGUGGACAAGAA